Molecule: long non-coding RNA, 1170 nt
Organism: Arachis duranensis
Lineage: Eukaryota; Viridiplantae; Streptophyta; Magnoliopsida; Fabales; Fabaceae
Exons: 5
Source: RefSeq, a predicted model, not a curated record
CUUGCAUACAUUUACCAAAAUUCUCAAGGAAAAAAAAUAAGGGAGAGAACGAAAGAAAGAAAAAAUAGAGAGAGAGGCAGAAAUAUUGUAAAAAUUAGUUUAUAGUGAUUUCUUUCAAUUCUAUAGUAAUUUUGUGGAUGAUUUAUCUUUGCUUAAGUGUCACCAUCACAGUCAUUGAUUAAGGUUAAGCUGAUCCGAAACCGAAGACGCUGCCUACUACUUCUUCUUUUAGCGGUGAUCCACUGUAAAACUCUCUCGAAACACCCUUGGUUAAGUUUUUUUGAAUCCCUCGAAGACCGUAACUUGUCCAUUCUCCAGCCAGGAACCGGCGACCGGAAUCUGAAACCCUAUCCAAAAAUCCUUAUUGAUGGCCAGUGAUGCAUGCUCCUCAAACACGAGACGAAGCAGAGGUGGAGACGACGGACAACAGGAACUCAAAGCUGGAUAUGCAACCUCAUGUUCGCUGCAACCUGGGGAUGUAAAAGAUGGUGUGGCCCCAAAAUGCUUCUGUGGAAAAUAUGCCAUCUGUUACAUGUCGAAAACAAACAUCCACUCGAAUAGGCUAUUUUUUGGAUGCCCAUUGUUAAAGGUGACACAACUACAUUGCAAAUUCUUUGUCUGGGUUGAUGACCACAUUGUAAGGGUCAGAGCAGUGGAGCCAAUAAAGGGAUUGGGUGACGGCAAGCCAAAUGAUGUUGAAGAGCAUUCGGGACUAGAUAACUUGAUUGCUCAUGUAGAGGAAAGAAUAGUAAACCUAGAGAAGUUGCUGAACAAAAAGACUAGAGAAGCAGAGUUGAAGAAGAAGAAGAAUAGAAAAGCAACUGCAAGAGAGAAGGAGGCUUCAUCAAUAAAAUCUAAUGAUUAGAUCAAAACCAGAACCACAAGCACCUCUAAUAGGUUUAGAAACUUAAGAAUAAUUUCCUUCUUUGUUCUGUUUGUCAAAGACAAUAGCAUGACAUCGUUAUUAAAUUACUGCAGGGCUACAAAAGAUCAAUGAUGAUUGUUUUUUUGGAGAUAAUUCUAGGUAAUUACGUUAUCUAUGAUAGUUUGUGAAUUUUUCUUUUAGAAUGUAAACACAAAAUUGAUUGAAAAUUUUAAAAGAAAAAUUGGUGAUGCCGUUUCGUGACAUAAACUUUCUUUGAUAUGGGUAAGAUGGUUAGAAUUUGAUUA